UCCUACGGGAGGCAGCAGUGGGGAAUAUUGGACAAUGGACCGCAAGUCUGAUCCAGCAAUUCUGUGUGCACGAUGACGUUUUUCGGAAUGUAAAGUGCUUUCAGUCGGGAAGAAGUCAGUGACGGUACCGACAGAAGAAGCGACGGCUAAAUACGUGCCAGCAGCCGCGGUAAUACGUAUGUCGCAAGCGUUAUCCGGAUUUAUUGGGCGUAAAGCGCGUCUAGGCGGCAAGGAAAGUCUGAUGUGAAAAUGCGGAGCUCAACUCCGUAUGGCGUUGGAAACUGCCUUGCUAGAGUACUGGAGAGGUAGGCGGAACUACAAGUGUAGAGGUGAAAUUCGUAGAUAUUUGUAGGAAUGCCGAUGGGGAAGCCAGCCUACUGGACAGAUACUGACGCUAAAGCGCGAAAGCGUGGGUAGCAAACAGGAUUAGAUACCCUGGUAGUCC
Molecule: ribosomal RNA, 445 nt
Filed under: uncultured bacterium
Lineage: Bacteria
Description: bacterial SSU rRNA
Rfam family: Bacterial small subunit ribosomal RNA
Source: RNAcentral